Molecule: non-coding RNA, 73 nt
Organism: Pungitius pungitius (ninespine stickleback)
Lineage: Eukaryota; Metazoa; Chordata; Actinopteri; Perciformes; Gasterosteidae
Source: the annotation of a RefSeq genome assembly
GACUCUGUGGCGCAAUGGACAGCGCGUUGGACUUCUAAUUCAAAGGUUGUGGGUUCGAGUCCCACCAGAGUUG